CUAAAUCCCCAAAUCUACCGAACCAAACCGCCACCACCGCCCUAGCAAAAGCAAUCAUCAAUUUUCAUUGUCAAGUAACGUGUAACCUUGAUUUCUUUGCCAUCUGGUAGAAUCAGAAAAGCCGUGUACUCAUCAACUUCUCAAAUCCUCAUGUUUAAUUAAUAUAUAAUCCCCCAAAAACAAUGAUAAAAAUGAUGGAUUUCUGUGGAUCGGAUACACAUGGGAUGCUCUGGAAAAGCCACCGCACAACAACAAACCCUAUUCACAUCCAGAAACGUCAUCAACAAGAAAUUGCAAGGAAAAGCACUUAAGCCCAAGUUUCAAUCCACUCCACCCAGAAUCAGAGCCUCAUGGACCUACCUGAGGAUAUCAUCGCUGACAUUCUUCGACGACUUCCGGUCAAAACUUUGGUCCGAUUCCGUUGCGUUUCCAAAUCAUGGCGGUCUCUGAUUGCCGAUCCGACCUUCGUUCGGACCCAUCUCUCCAGGCUGAUCAAAUCCCAUAUCGCCUUUGGAACCGCGUCUCGUAUCGUCCUCUCCCGUUACGCCGAUCGCCUUUUGUCCCUCCAACACCAUUUAAACGACGAAGGUGUUGCAGUCGCAGAGGAGUUGGGACUGGAUCUAGUCAAGGAUUUGCCUUACUACGUCAAGGGUCACUGUGAUGGGUUAAUCUGUUUGGUCAUCAACAAUGGCGACAAGGGUCUCCUCGUCCUUUAUAAUCCGUCGAUCCGUGUGCACAGGAAGCUUCCUAUUCCUCGCAACUAUCGCAGCACAAGGGAAGUGUUCGGGAUCGGCUACGAUCCAACUAUCAACGAUUAUAAGAUUGUUAGGGUUCCGUCUAUGUAUUGCCGGAUGAAAGUCAAAGACUACGUUCCUCGGGUGGAGAUCUUCACGCUGAAAUCGAAUACAUGGCGGGCACUUCCUGAUGAAGAGACUCCUCCUUAUUUCGUCGAGCAUGUGUUUCAGGCCACGAAUGCAAAUGGAGGAAUUUACUGGCUCUGUGAGGACAGAGAUGCUUCGAGAUGUGUGAUUCUGCGAUUUGAUUUGGUUCAAGAGAAGUUCAGCGUGGUUCCUGCAGCACCUGAUGAGUUCCAUUGGAGUAUAACCUGGUUGGGUUCUCUGAAAGAUUCGCUUUCUGUGAUCCAUUCCCAGAGAACCAGUCAUAUCCAUAUAUGGUCCACCAAGGAUGACAAAAACUGGACGAAGCUAUUCUCAAUUCCGAAGCUUCAGGGAUUGAAUCCUUCUGUUUACAGCUUCAGGUAUACCCCCUUGUGCUACACCGAGACCGGUGCCUUGCUGAUGAAUAUUAGAGGAGAGGGAUUUAUGAUGUAUGAUCCCAGAGAUAAUAGUUUCCGGCAGGUUGAGGUCAGAGGGGUUGAGCACCAUUUGCAGGAGACUGUGUAUUGUGAAAGUCUGGUAUCACCCUCUUUGGGAAAUGGGGAUGAAAAUGAGGCCUCCGGCCGGGAAGAUCGGAGAUCUCGCCUGGCCGACACCACCGCCCGCGGAAUCCGGCUACUGGUUCUUGGUUUCAAGCGUGGCAUGUCAUUUAAUGGCGGUGGCAGGAGUGGAAGAAGGUAGAAAAAGCUCGUUUAUCAUGCAGAUAUAAUCCAUUGGUUGCUAAAUUUUGAAACACCAGUAUGCCCAUGAAUACAUGUAAAAUUUGAAGCACCAGCGGAUUGUAGUUCAAUUGGUCAGAGCACCUCCCUGUCAAGGCGGAAGCUGCGGGUUCGAGCCCCUCAUGGAACUUAGUAUAUCUAUCAUCCAAGAGACGGACCCUCUACUCGUGUUUCUGGAAAGAUUCAUAGAACAAGCAUGAUGUAUCCAGCUCCCUAUUGUGCCACUUCCACAAAUUCAAACGAUGCAGAUUCCAUAGGAUGGGAUGAGCAUGACGAGGAAGCUAUGCCAUCUGGUUCACCAGACCAGGAAACGUAUAGAACAGGCGACCGGUGCUUGCUGAUGAAUGUGACAGGAAAUGGAUUUGUGAUGUACAAGCUGGGUGAGAAAAUGUUGUCCCUGUGACUCGAAGUCAAAAGGACGACGGGUCCGGCCCCAUGAUGAUGAUCCGCAUUAGCCUAUAUUGUGAUAGUUUGGUAUCACCCAAUUGCAGAAAUCCCGAGACCAACGUGCCAAAACAGAAAAUAAUCUGGUUUUUUUAUUUGUUUUUUUUUUUUUUUUUUUUGUGAAAUAAAGAGAAGAAAUUGUUGCAAGUAAAUGCUUUUACAUUUUUAUUUCUUGUGCAAUUGUUAGGAUGAGUUUUCUUCUAUCAGACUUGUGACUUGUAGGCAUAAACACUGAUGAAAAUAUCAAUAUCAAUAUCAAUGGAAUGAUUUUAUGGAAACAUGGAUGUAAAUAUCCAUCAUAUUAUUGAUA
RNA transcript from Ziziphus jujuba (common jujube), 2369 nucleotides. It is a transcript of the gene named F-box/kelch-repeat protein At3g23880, with no coding region annotated. The transcript is spliced from 3 exons. The record is from RefSeq and is a predicted model, not a curated record. NCBI's taxonomy places the organism in Eukaryota, Viridiplantae, Streptophyta, Magnoliopsida, Rosales, Rhamnaceae.